Molecule: non-coding RNA, 391 nt
Organism: Biomphalaria pfeifferi
Lineage: Eukaryota; Metazoa; Mollusca; Gastropoda; Planorbidae
Source: the annotation of a GenBank genome assembly
GACAAAAAAAUUCAUGUUAUGUUAAUUAUUACAAACAUAAAUUAUAUAUUUCACUUUGAUAUAAAUUGCUAUGAAAAGUUUUAUAUAUAUUUUUGUUUAAAAAAAAACAACUCAUUAUUAAUUUAUGUAAUAUAAAAGUUUCUUGUCACCUGAAAGUUCUUCUAAACAGUCUCAGCCAAGCUCUACAACCUCCAAGACUGAGACUGAGAUGAUGCUUUGAGUAAAGCCAUUGUUUAGUCAAGACUGAAUGUCAUUACAAGAAAUGAAAUGAAAAGGGAAAAAAUCUAUCAGAAAGGAUUUGAUUGGAUUGGUCAAGGUAAGUGUUGAAGUUUGGAGAUUCAACCAGAUUUGGAAUGAAAUUAUUUGUUCUUAAAUUAGUCAACAGUCUGCA